AAUGAACGUUGGCGGCGUGGAUUAGGCAUGCAAGUCGUGCGCGAACUGUAGCAAUACAGGGAGAGCGGCGAAAGGGAGAGUAAUACAUAGGUACCUACCCCCGGGCCUGGGAUAGCGGCGGGAAACUGCCGGUAAUACCAGAUAACGUCCCCGGACCAAAGAUGUGACUUCACCUGGGGAGGAGCCUAUGGCCUAUCAGCUUGUUGGCAGGGUAACGGCCUACCAAGGCAAAGACGGGUAUGGGGCGUGAGAGCGUGCCCCCACUCACUGGGACUGAGACACUGCCCAGACACCUACGGGUGGCUGCAGUCGAGAAUCUUCGGCAAUGGGCGCAAGCCUGACCGAGCGACGCCGCGUGCGGGAUGAAGGCCUUCGGGUUGUAAACCGCUGUCGUAGGGGAGGAAGGGCCUGUGAAGAACAGGACUUGACCGAUCCUAGGAGGAAGGGCCGGCUAAUCUCGUGCCAGCCGCCGCGGUAA
This 478-nucleotide ribosomal RNA is filed under the name uncultured bacterium. Its description in RNAcentral is "partial 16S ribosomal RNA". It matches the Rfam family "Bacterial small subunit ribosomal RNA", at positions 29 to 523 of the family's 1533-position model. The record is from RNAcentral.